AUACGGAGGAUGCAAGCGUUAUCCGGAUUUAUUGGGUUUAAAGGGUGCGUAGGCGGUUUGCUAAGCGGGAGGUGAAAUGCCGGCGCUCGACGUCGGAAGUGCCUCCCGAACUGGUGGACUUGAAUGACUCUGCCGUGGGAGGAAUGUGUAGGGUAGCGGUUAAAUGCUUAGAGAUUACACAGAACACCGAUUGCGAAGGCAUCUCACGAAGGGUUGAUUGACGCUGAGGCACGAAAGCGUGGGGAUCAAACAGGAUUAGAUACCCUGGUAGUCCACACAGUAAACGAUGGACACCCGCGGUUUGGCCUAUAUGGCUGAGCCGCCAAGCGAAAGCGUUAAGUGUCCCACCUGGGGAGUACGCCGGCAACGGUGAAACUCAAAGGAAUUGGCGGGG
RNAcentral lists this ribosomal RNA (394 nucleotides) under uncultured bacterium. RNAcentral's name for it is "partial 16S ribosomal RNA". It matches the Rfam family "Bacterial small subunit ribosomal RNA", at positions 523 to 918 of the family's 1533-position model. The record is from RNAcentral.